GUGCCUAUAGCUCAGUGGUAGAGUGCUUGCCUAGCAUGCACAGCAUGCACAAGGUCCUGGGUUCAAUCCCCAGUACCUCCA
RNAcentral lists this transfer RNA (81 nucleotides) under Camelus bactrianus (Bactrian camel). It matches the Rfam family "tRNA". From Rfam's summary of the family: Transfer RNA (tRNA) molecules are approximately 80 nucleotides in length. Their secondary structure includes four short double-helical elements and three loops (D, anti-codon, and T loops). Lineage: Eukaryota; Metazoa; Chordata; Mammalia; Artiodactyla; Camelidae. The record is from Rfam by way of RNAcentral. RNAcentral also lists the same sequence under 2 other names.